This is a long non-coding RNA of Syngnathoides biaculeatus (alligator pipefish), 271 nucleotides long. RefSeq lists it as uncharacterized. The transcript has 3 exons. The record is from RefSeq and is a predicted model, not a curated record. Lineage: Eukaryota; Metazoa; Chordata; Actinopteri; Syngnathiformes; Syngnathidae.
AGGCUUGCGGGAAAGCUGGAGCCUAUCCCAACUAACUCCGGGCGAAAGUCGGACUACGCCCUGAACUGGUCGCCAGUCAGUCGCAGGGCAUCGAUCCCACGCUUCCCGCACCAAAGCCAGAAAAACAUGGCGGCAGACGACAACGUAUCCCUUUUGUGGCCUUCGAUAAAAUCCACCCUGCUCCAGAAUCUCUUCCUGAGCGUGACCUUUGACAGCUGACAUUGAUCAUGCGUUCCACGUACUUGCAAGAAGACCAACACUUUGGAAGCCA